RNAcentral lists this ribosomal RNA (173 nucleotides) under uncultured Ascomycota. RNAcentral describes it as "partial 18S ribosomal RNA". It matches the Rfam family "Eukaryotic small subunit ribosomal RNA", at positions 1661 to 1831 of the family's 1831-position model. The record is from RNAcentral. Lineage: Eukaryota; Fungi; Ascomycota.
UGUACACACCGCCCGUCGCUACUACCGAUUGAAUGGCUCAGUGAGGCGUUCGGACUGGCUCGGGGAGGUUGGCAACGACCACCCCAAGCCGGAAAGUUCGUCAAACUCGGUCAUUUAGAGGAAGUGAAAGUCGUAACAAGGUCUCCGUAGGUGAACCUGCGGAGGGAUCAUUA